Molecule: ribosomal RNA, 437 nt
Filed under: uncultured bacterium
Lineage: Bacteria
Description: bacterial SSU rRNA
Rfam family: Bacterial small subunit ribosomal RNA
Source: RNAcentral
GAUGAACGCUGGCGGCGUGCUUAACACAUGCAAGUCGAACGAAGCAUUUAAGACAGAUUACUUCGGUUUGAAGUCUUUUAUGACUGAGUGGCGGACGGGUGAGUAACGCGUGGGUAACCUGCCUCAUACAGGGGGAUAGCAGCUGGAAACGGCUGGUAAUACCGCAUAAGCGCACGGUAUCGCAUGAUACAGUGUGAAAAACUCCGGUGGUAUGAGAUGGACCCGCGUCUGAUUAGCUAGUUGGCGGGGUAACGGCCCACCAAGGCGACAAUCAGUAGCCGGACUGAGAGGUUGAACGGCCACAUUGGGACUGAGAUAGGCCCAGACUCCUACGGGAGGCAGCAGUGGGGAAUAUUGGGCAAUGGGCGCGAAGCCUGACCCAGCAACGCCGCGUGAAGGAGAAGGCUUUCGGGUUGUAAACGUUCUUUUAAGAGGAG